Long non-coding RNA from Rosa chinensis, 1190 nucleotides. RefSeq lists it as uncharacterized. NCBI's taxonomy places the organism in Eukaryota, Viridiplantae, Streptophyta, Magnoliopsida, Rosales, Rosaceae. The transcript is spliced from 3 exons. The record is from RefSeq and is a predicted model, not a curated record.
UCUAAUUUUACUACUAAUUAAUAAUCUCAAUAUGGUCAAAAUGUCCCAGUCAAUCUCUUCCGUCACAGAAGAAGGGACGACGGAAUAUGACGAUCAUUGCACUAUUUGCUUGGAAGACUUGAUUUCCAAGGUGAGGGAGAUGCCUUGUAAGCAUAGGUUUCACUCCCCUUGUAUCGAGUCUUGGCUGCUCAGAAGUGAAUCCUGCCCUCUUUGCAGGAGGCCGUUUCUGAGUGGCAGCAAUCUGAGUCGUAGACUUUGGCGAUUAGUAUAUGCAUAUUUUGCUAAUGUUUUAAUUAUUUUUUGUUGGAUUACAGGUUGGUUGUGUGCAUGGUUGAUUUAUUUGAAUCUAGCUAUUUGCCCAGUAAUAUCCUCUGUUUGCCCUCUUUACCCCUUUGAAAAAGCGACUUGGAUCAUCUCCUCCUUGUUUUUAGUUGUCAUUGUCUUCCUUGUGACCAUUCACCCAUGUCCUGAUGAUCGCCGUGGCGAUCAGGUGAUCGAUGAACUUGAAGGAAACUUGAGAACCCAGUCAUGAUCAUGAUGACCGGAAAAAGCGAGAUGGAAUUCCGGUGAUCAUAAACUUGGCUUUGGUUGAGUUGCGUAAGCACAGCUUUGAUUUUACGCAGACCAAACCCUUAAGCUUUGAUUUUACGCAGACCAAACCCCUAAGCUUUGAUAUAACGCAGACAAAGGCCCCCAAGUUUCUAGUUUUAGAAUGUUUUAAAAGGCAGUAAUCAAAGGUUAACAAAGGUCUAAUUCUCACCCGGAGCAAAGUUCCAAACAAUAGAAAUGUGACCAAACAAAAAGCAUACCUAAAACAGCCCAAACAUAAUCUCCUCAUCUCUCUCUUUAAUCAAACUCUGCAAUAUUUCAUUUCAAAAAAGAAUUAUGUACGUAUUAUAUAUUCUAGGUUUCCGGCAGUGAAAACGGCGUCGUGGUGCGCACUGAGAUGGAAAACGAACAUGAAGUUACAUCGUUCUAUUCAAUCCCCGAUGAAAUACCAGUAACAAAGUUGUAAGAAGCUUGCCUAGCUAUAGUGGAAUCGGCGUUGGAAGAGUAUGACAUUUCAUGCCCACUGAAUCUGGAGGACUGUCUUAAACGACGGGAAUUAAUGUCUCUUAUCUUCCCUAGAUGUGCAUAAAGCUAUGUACGUUCUAGUGCUGGUUCGACUAAAUGAUUGAAGAGAAAAAGGA